Molecule: ribosomal RNA, 690 nt
Filed under: uncultured bacterium
Lineage: Bacteria
Description: bacterial SSU rRNA
Rfam family: Bacterial small subunit ribosomal RNA
Source: RNAcentral
AGAGUUUGAUCAUGGCUCAGAACGUACGCUGGCGGCACGCCUAAUACAUGCAAGUCGAACGAAGUAGCAAUACUUAGUGGCAGACGGGUGAGUAACAUGUGGGUAUCUUCCCUUUGGUGAGGAAUAACACGAGGAAACUUGUGCUAAUACCUCAUAAGUCUUUACAGAGAAAGCUUUAUGCGCCAUUGGAUGAGCCUGCACUUGAUUAGUUUGUUGGUGGGGUAAUGGCCUACCAAGACAAUGAUCAAUAGCUGAUUUGAGAGGAUGAUCAGCCACAUUGGGACUGAGACACGGCCCAAACUCCUACGGGAGGCAGCAGUAGGGAAUCUUGCACAAUGGAGGAAACUCUGAUGCAGCGAUGCCGCGUGAGUGAAGAAGGCCUUUGGGUUGUAAAGCUCUUUCGUCGGGGAAGAAAAUGACUGUACCCGAAUAAGAAGGUCCGGCUAACUUCGUGCCAGCAGCCGCGGUAAUACGAAGGGACCUAGCGUAGUUCGGAAUUACUGGGCUUAAAGAGUUCGUAGGUGGUUAAAAAAGUUGAUGGUGAAAUCCCAGAGCUUAACUCUGGAACUGCCAUCAAAACUUUUUAGCUAGAGUAUGAUAGAGGAAAGCAGAAUUUCUAGUGUAGAGGUGAAAUUCGUAGAUAUUAGAAAGAAUACCAAUUGCGAAGGCAGCUUUCUGGAUCAUUACUGA